RNAcentral lists this long non-coding RNA (412 nucleotides) under Monodelphis domestica (gray short-tailed opossum). RNAcentral's name for it is "lncRNA (ENSMODG00000038097.1)". Lineage: Eukaryota; Metazoa; Chordata; Mammalia; Didelphimorphia; Didelphidae. The record is from RNAcentral.
GUACCCAUAAACCUAGUUAAGAGCUAGUGGGUGGGAAAAAGGUUACUAAGAAUGUCUCUAGACUAAGAUUAAAUUGCUUCUUUUAAUGACCUAUAUCUGCAUCUAAAUCACAAUCAUUUCUCUCAGGAAACUAAUGAUUUAGAGUUUUAAAUUCCUCUAACUCUUAUUUAACUCCUUACAGGCAUUCUGAUCCUCUCCAAAACCAUAUCAUGGGGUUUUGCCAAAGAAAUCCCACAAAGUUCCAUGGAAAGGCUUUGAAUCUCAUUUCACUUCCAAGAUGCUCUCCAAAUUGGCAUGCCAAUGAUUUUAAGAACAAAACUAAAAUAAGGUUUUGAAAGAACACUAAUAAGAUAAAGGACAUCAGAGAAAAAUGAUCAAGAUGAAGAUAUUGAAAACCAUGCCCUGUGAGAGU